GGAAAGUCGCGCAGUAAAGGGUGAUAGCCCCGUACACUAAAAUGCACAGGUCGUGAGUUCGAUGAGUAGGGCGGGACACGUGACAUCCUGUCUGAAUAUGGGGGGACCAUCCUCCAAGGCUAAAUACUCCUGACUGACCGAUAGUGAACCAGUACCGUGAGGGAAAGGCGAAAAGAACCCCGGCGAGGGGAGUGAAAUAGAACCUGAAACCGUGUACGUACAAGCAGUGGGAGCACCUUCGUGGUGUGACUGCGUACCUUUUGUAUAAUGGGUCAGCGACUUAUAUUUUGUAGCAAGGUUAACCGUAUAGGGGAGCCGUAGGGAAACCGAGUCUUAACUGGGCGAUUAGUUGCAAGGUAUAGACCCGAAACCCGGUGAUCUAGCCAUGGGCAGGUUGAAGGUUGGGUAACACUAACUGGAGGACCGAACCGACUAAUGUUGAAAAAUUAGCGGAUGACUUGUGGCUGGGGGUGAAAGGCCAAUCAAACCGGGAGAUAGCUGGUUCUCCCCGAAAGCUAUUUAGGUAGCGCCUCGUGAACUCAUCUUCGGGGGUAGAGCACUGUUUCGGCUAGGGGGCCAUCCCGGCUUACCAAACCGAUGCAAACUCCGAAUACCGAAGAAUGUUAUCACGGGAGACACACGGCGGGUGCUAACGUCCGUCGUGAAGAGGGAAACAACCCAGACCGCCAGCUAAGGUCCCAAAGUCAUGGUUAAGUGGGAAACGAUGUGGGAAGGCAUAGACAGCCAGGAUGUUGGCUUAGAAGCAGCCAUCAUUUAAAGAAAGCGUAAUAGCUCACUGGUCGAGUCGGCCUGCGCGGAAGAUGUAACGGGGCUAAACCAUGCACCGA
This 848-nucleotide ribosomal RNA is filed under the name Serratia marcescens. RNAcentral's name for it is "partial 23S ribosomal RNA". It matches the Rfam family "Bacterial large subunit ribosomal RNA", at positions 344 to 1197 of the family's 2925-position model. The record is from RNAcentral. Lineage: Bacteria; Pseudomonadati; Pseudomonadota; Gammaproteobacteria; Enterobacterales; Yersiniaceae.